This is a long non-coding RNA of Gadus morhua (Atlantic cod), 164 nucleotides long. RefSeq lists it as uncharacterized. NCBI's taxonomy places the organism in Eukaryota, Metazoa, Chordata, Actinopteri, Gadiformes, Gadidae. The record is from RefSeq and is a predicted model, not a curated record. The transcript has 2 exons.
AUCUAAUGUUGCCACUAAGUAAAACAGCCCAGCAGUUGGAAUACAGAGAUGGAUUAGCAAUGAACAACCAAGCUCUAAAAAUAGUGUGUGUGUGUGUGUGUGUGUGUGUGUGUGUGUGUGUGUGUGUGUGUGUGUGUGUGUGUGUGUGUGUGUGUGUGUGUGUG